Long non-coding RNA from Papaver somniferum (opium poppy), 1077 nucleotides. RefSeq lists it as uncharacterized. Lineage: Eukaryota; Viridiplantae; Streptophyta; Magnoliopsida; Ranunculales; Papaveraceae. The transcript is spliced from 3 exons. The record is from RefSeq and is a predicted model, not a curated record.
CUACGAGCACCACCAUAUCUAUCGCCGCCAUCACCACCGCUACCCCCAAUACCAGCACUAUCUUCUCCAAUAUUAGAUAUUUCAGAUUCAAAAAUUUUUUGUUACUACCGUCGUCUUUUUCUCCGGAAGAGAACUUUCUCUCCUUUUAUUAAGAUGAAUAUUUGAUUCAGAUUUUGGAGUUCGAGAGAGAUUGAGGUUUUAAUUAUGCAUUUUAUUUUUCUGUAUUAGUUUCUUGUGGUGGUAGUGGUGGUGACGGUGAUUGAAUUUAUAAAGCUAGGAUUAGGGAUUUGAGCUACUGGUGGUGGUGGUGGUGUGGUAACUAGAUAUGAUUUUGAUUUUUGUUGGAUACUUUGAACAUGGUUAUUAGUUUUAUUAAAGGUUCGACUGCUUAAUAAAAAGUCAUCGAUUUUGAUUGCUGGAUCUAAGAAGUGACUAACAUUAUUAUGGUGUUUUUAAACUUGAUUCAACCAUGCACUUGAGGUAAUCACUCCGUCUCUCAAACUUUCAUUUCCAAUUUCAAUUUUUGGUCUGGUUGAGAGAUUGCAAUUGAUGUUUCUUAAGCUUAAAAAUCUUAAUUGAAUUUAUUCUCAAGAACUGCUCCUAAUUAAAAGGUGGUGGUUUUGGUUGGAAUGAUAAAAUUGGUGAUGGAAAUCCAGAAAUAUUGGCUAUGGUGGGGUUAAAAUGGUUCUGGUUGUUGUUGUGGUGGUGGAGAUGUGUAAUUGUUGGUGGUGGUGAGGUUCGAAUGAUAAAUUAGUUACGAAAAUAGUGGUGGGUGGUGGUUCUGGUUGAUAUAGUUGUGGAAAUUGGGUGUAAAUUAUUAGUGGUUUGGGAGAUGGUGGUUGUGUGGUUUCUUCAUGAUACGAAAGAAAAGAGUUGCAGUGAUGUUUCAGCCGUAAAGCACUUUUAUUGUAAUCUCUAAACAACGUUUCGUGUGCUGCUUUAGGUAUCAACUUCAGUUGUUGACACCAGAUUCUGGAAUCAACUUUGGUUGUUGACAUUAAAUAUAUUUUUUUUCUUAUUUUCUGAUUUUUGUUUUUGGGGAUCAACUUAGAUUGUUGACGCCACUGGCGACGGCGG